RNAcentral lists this ribosomal RNA (2625 nucleotides) under Gracilaria textorii. Its description in RNAcentral is "large subunit ribosomal RNA". It matches the Rfam family "Bacterial large subunit ribosomal RNA". Lineage: Eukaryota; Rhodophyta; Florideophyceae; Gracilariales; Gracilariaceae. The record is from RNAcentral.
AAAUUUUUAUAACGAGCACUUAAUAAAAACCUUGGUGGAAAAUUUUGGACGUGACGCUACGAAAAGUUAUAUGGAGGCAUUAGCUUGUGAUUUAUAAAUUUCCGUAUUUGGAGUAAACUCAUUAAAAUUUUUUAAAAAGUAAUGUGAAUUGAAUCAUCUGAGUAACAUUAUUAAUAAAAUCAAUCGAGAAAUCGUAAGUAAUGGUGAAUGAAAGCGAUACAAAAGCUUAGUGGAAUGUUUUAAUUAAAAUCAACUAAAAAAGGUAAAAGUCCUGUAUUAAUAAAAACUUUCUAUAAUAAAAUUUAUAAGUAAUAUGAACUUUAAUUUGUAUGAAUAAAGGAGAACCACCUUCUAAGCUUAAAAAAUUUUCCAACCUAUAGUGGACGAGUACCGUGAGGGAAAGGUAAAAAAGUUCGAAAAGAAUUCUUUUGAGUUAAGUGUUUUAAAAUUUUCGAAGUAUGUAACAACGAAGUGCCUUUUGCAUAAUGAAUCAGCAAGUUAAUAUAUAUUGCAAGCUUAAUUAGUCAUAUAGAGGCAUAGAUAAAAGUAAUAUAUAUUAGACCUGAAACCAAGUGAUCUAGUUGUGAGUAAGUUAAGAAUUCUUUAAAAAGUUUUUGAAGACUGCACCCAUACAUGUAGCAAAAUGUAGGGAUAACUUAUAAUUAGGAGUGAAAGGCUAAUCAAACUUGGAGAUAGCCGGUUUUUCACGAAAUGUAUUUUAGUACUACGUUAAUUAAUAUAAACCUUGAGUUAGAGUACAAAAUAAAAGAAGGGAUGUAAAAAUUUACUCAAUUUUUUUUAACUCCGAAUUAAAGUUUUAUAUAAUUAGCAGACAGUCUAUAAGCGAUAAGGUUUAUAGACAAGAGGAAAACAAUCCAGAUCGAAUACUAAGAUUUCCAAAUUAAAACUUAGAGAAAAAAUUAAAUAAAGUUCAAAUAAUAAUUUUGAUAGGCUUAGAAGCAGCCUUUCAUUGUAGAAAGCGUUUCAGCUCGUUAUUUUUCUUUUUUUAAUUUAAAAUGUAUAGAAACUUUAAGUUUUAUAUCGAAGUAGCGAAUUAAUAUAAUUUAAUGGUAGUGAAACACUUUGUAAAAUUUUUUUGAUUGUAAAAUCCUUAAAAAUUAACAGAGAUGCUAAUGCUGAUAUGAGUAGCGAAAAUUGCGUUAAAAAAUCGUAAUCACUUAAUGUUUAAGGGUUUCAAUGUAAUUUUAAAUUCAUUGAGUUAGUCGGUCCUUAAGAGGUGAAUAAAAAUUGUACUCGAUAGGAAAUUAAUAACCAUAUUGUACUUUUUAUAUGUGUUAUUGAAACAUGAAAAAAAUAAAGUAAAAAAUUUUACAAUCUAAAAUAAGGCAUAAAAUUAAUUUACAUUGUUUUCGAGAAAAAAUUAUAAAAAUAAUAAACCGUACUUAAACCGACACAGGUAAAUUGAUUGAAAAAAUUAUAAGUGAAUGAAAAAAUUGUAUUGAAGGAAUUCGGCAAAUUGACUCUAUAUGUUCGCUAUAAAGAGGGCCUUUUGAAAAGGUAGCAUAAAAGAAGAAGCAACGACUGGUUAACAAAACCACAGGACUCUGCGAAUUUGUAAAAAGAUGUAUAGAGUCUGACGCCUGCCCAGUACUUAAAAAUAAAAAAUUUAGGUUAGUGCUUAUUUUUUCAAAUCUAAGUAAACGGCGGUUCUAACUAUAAGAAUCCUUAGGUAGCGAAAUUCCUUGGCGGGUAAAUUCCGUCCUGCAUGAAUGGCGUAACGAUUGCUUCACUGUCUCCAAUACAAUUUCAGUGAAAUUACAUUAUCCAUGAAAAUGUGGAUUACUUACAGUAAGACGGAAAGACCCUAGAUCCUUUACUUUGAUUUUAAAUUGUAAAAAAUUGUUUAAAUGUGAAGAAUAAGUGGGAAUAAUUAAUGAUGUUUCUGAAAUACCACCCGUUAGAUUUAAUUUUUUACUAAGUUUAUAAAUAAUAUUAUAAAAGACCGUUUAAAAGAGAAAGUUUACUUGGGACGAGUACCUCCUAAAAGGUAACGGAGGUGUACGAAGGUAAGGAACAAUUAUUCGUAACGAAUAAUGAAGAAUAUAAUGGUAUAAACUUGCUUGACAAUAAGAUUUAUAAAUCGAAUUGAGACGAAAGUCCGUCAUAGUGACCCGAUAUUUAAGUGUGGAAUUGAUAUCGUUCAACAAAUAAAAGGAACUCUAGGGAUAACAGAUUCAUCGUGAUUGAGAGUUCAUAUUGACGUCACGGUUUGAUACCUCGAUGUCGACUCAUCUUAUCCUGAAAUUGAAGUAGAUUUCAAGGGUCUAGUUGUUCGCUAGUGAAAAAGGUACGUGAGUUGGGUUCAGAACGUCGUGAGACAGUUCGGUCCCUAUCUACUGUAAGAAAAGAAAAAUAAAAAGUGUAUUCUUAGUACGAGAGGACCAGAAUACUUUAACCUCUGGUUAAAUGAUUGUUAUGCCAAUAGCAUAGUCAAGUAGCUACGUUAGCUUUUAAUAAAUACUGAAUGAAUCAAGUGUAUUAAGUAUUCUUUUAUAUAUUUUUCGGGAAUAAUCUAAAAGAUUAUUAGAUUGAUCGGUUUAAAAGUGUUAUUUAGUAAUAAAUUUUAGUUUUUAUAGAUCCGAAUUAUUCAAAAAAAUUUUAAUU